AUGUUGGCAGAGACCAUGUUUCUCUCCAGCUGCUCCAGUGGAAAUCAUCACAUUACAAUUUUCCAGUGUAGACUAUGGAGAGAGAGAGACAGAGAUAAGAAAGAGAGGGUUAAGCUGCAUCUGGUUCUUACAGGAAGAAGACAGCAUUUCUGCCGAGCCUCCAUGAAGGGAGAGGGAAGGAUGAAACGAGAAUCUCUAUGUGCUAUGAUUUCCGGGGUUGUCUGUUGUGAAGAACACAGUGUGGUCCAGGUCCCAGUCCCCUCCAUGGUCAACCACCACACACAAGCUGAAGGGGACAUGUUCUGUCACACUAAAAACAUUGCGAACAAGAAGGACCUCAAGUCUGACCCCUGUCGGGCCCCAGUAAAUCUCACAGCACCAAGUUAGAGACACUCCUCUGGGCUUUGUUUUUCCACCAGUCUAUCAUCUCCUCCCAUGCACUCUGGAUUUUAGCAAAACUUUUCAUCUGAGAUUCAUGGUAGGAUUUUUUUUUUACCAUCUGCCGAUGAUCCAGAUAGGUUAUUGCAUAGGAUCCAAUUUGUCAUGUGACUUCUAGGACCAUCCCACUGUCCUGCAUUAAAAUAAAAUUAUUUCCUCUCAUAGAAGAGUCUGUAUUUCCUUCUUGCAUGUGCCUAGUAGCAUUUUCCUUUAUAAACACCAGUCUUGUGGAAUUAUUCCUUCUAGCCUCUUCUUUUCUAGAGAAAGUAUACUUACUUUCUCUAAGCAGGAAACUAGGCAAUUACAAGUUCUA
Molecule: long non-coding RNA, 751 nt
Filed under: Callithrix jacchus (white-tufted-ear marmoset)
Lineage: Eukaryota; Metazoa; Chordata; Mammalia; Primates; Cebidae
Description: lncRNA (ENSCJAG00000077552.1)
Source: RNAcentral